This 467-nucleotide ribosomal RNA is filed under the name uncultured bacterium. Its description in RNAcentral is "partial 16S ribosomal RNA". It matches the Rfam family "Bacterial small subunit ribosomal RNA", at positions 28 to 506 of the family's 1533-position model. The record is from RNAcentral.
GACGAACGCUGGCGGCGUGCUUAACACAUGCAAGUCGAACGGAAAGGCCCUGCUUUUGUGGGGUGCUCGAGUGGCGAACGGGUGAGUAACACGUGAGUAACCUGCCCUUGACUUUGGGAUAACUUCAGGAAACUGGGGCUAAUACCGGAUAGGAGCUCCUGCUGCAUGGUGGGGGUUGGAAAGUUUCGGCGGUUGGGGAUGGACUCGCGGCUUAUCAGCUUGUUGGUGGGGUAGUGGCUUACCAAGGCUUUGACGGGUAGCCGGCCUGAGAGGGUGACCGGCCACAUUGGGACUGAGAUACGGCCCAGACUCCUACGGGAGGCAGCAGUGGGGAAUAUUGCACAAUGGGCGGAAGCCUGAUGCAGCAACGCCGCGUGCGGGAUAACGACCUUCGGGUGGUAAACCGCUUUCGCCUGUGACGAAGCGUGAGUGACGGUAAUGGGGAAAGAAGCACCGGCUAACUACGU